Molecule: ribosomal RNA, 433 nt
Filed under: uncultured bacterium
Lineage: Bacteria
Description: partial 16S ribosomal RNA
Rfam family: Bacterial small subunit ribosomal RNA
Source: RNAcentral
AUUGAACGCUGGCGGCAUGCCUAACACAUGUAAGUCGAACGAGACCACCGGGUCUAGUGGCGCACGGGUGCGUCACGCGUGGGAACCUGCACUUAGGUUUGGAAUAACUCUCCGAAAGGGGUGCUAACACCGGAUAAUGUCUUCGGACCAAAGAUUUAUCGCCUUUGGAUGGGCACGCGUUGGAUUCGCUUGUUGGUAGGGUAAAAGCCUACCAAGGCGACGAUCCAUAGCUGGUCUGAGAGGAUGAUCAGCCACACUGGGACUAAGACGCGGCCCAGACUCCUACGGGAGGCAGCAGUGGGGAAUAUUGGACAAUGGGCGGAGGCCUGAUCCAGCAAUGCUGGGUGAGUGAUGAAGGCCUUAGAGUUGUAAAGCUCUUUUACCCAGGAUGGUAAUGACAGUACCGGGAGAAUAAGCUCCGGCUAACUCCGUG